RNAcentral lists this ribosomal RNA (524 nucleotides) under uncultured bacterium. RNAcentral describes it as "partial 16S ribosomal RNA". It matches the Rfam family "Bacterial small subunit ribosomal RNA", at positions 28 to 523 of the family's 1533-position model. The record is from RNAcentral.
GACGAACGCUGGCGGCGUGCUUAACACAUGCAAGUCGAACGAGACGAUUGAAAGCUUGCUUUCGAAAGUCGAGUGGCAAACGGGUGAGUAACGCGUAGACAACCUGCCUUUGAGAUGGGGACAACAGUUCGAAAGGACUGCAAAUACCGAAUGUUGUAUAUUUUCCACAUGGAAGAUAUAUUAAAGAUGGCCUCUAUUUAUAAGCUAUCGCUCAAAGAUGGGUCUGCGUCUGAUUAGCUGGUUGGUGGGGUAACGGCCUACCAAGGCGACGAUCAGUAGCCGGUCUGAGAGGGUGAACGGCCACAUUGGGACUGAGACACGGCCCAGACUCCUACGGGAGGCAGCAGUGGGGAAUCUUCCACAAUGGACGAAAGUCUGAUGGAGCAACGCCGCGUGAGUGAAGAAGGGUUUCGGCUCGUAAAGCUCUGUUGUCGGGGACGAAUGUGCAGUAUUUGAAUAAAGUACUGCAAUGACGGUACCUGACGAGGAAGCCACGGCUAACUACGUGCCAGCCGCCGCAGUAA